RNAcentral lists this ribosomal RNA (494 nucleotides) under uncultured bacterium. RNAcentral's name for it is "partial 16S ribosomal RNA". It matches the Rfam family "Bacterial small subunit ribosomal RNA", at positions 31 to 507 of the family's 1533-position model. The record is from RNAcentral.
GAACGCUGGCGGCGUGCCUAAUACAUGCAAGUCGAGCGAACAGGCGAGGAGCUUGCUCCUCUGACGUUAGCGGCGGACGGGUGAGUAACACGUGGAUAACCUACCUAUAAGACUGGGAUAACUUCGGGAAACCGGAGCUAAUACCGGAUAAUAUAUUGAACCGCAUGGUUCAAUAGUGAAAGACGGUUUUGCUGUCACUUAUAGUUGGAUCCGCGCCGCAUUAGCUAGUUGGUAAGGUAACGGCUUACCAAGGCAACGAUGCGUAGCCGACCUGAGAGGGUGAUCGGCCACACUGGAACUGAGACACGGUCCAGACUCCUGCGGGAGGCAGCAGUAGGGAAUCUUCCGCAAUGGGCGAAAGCCUGACGGAGCAACGCCGCGUGAGUGAUGAAGGUCUUCGGAUCGUAAAACUCUGUUAUUAGGGAAGAACAAAUGUGUAAGUAACUAUGCACGUCUUGACGGUACCUAAUCAGAAAGCCACGGCUAACUACGUG